This 347-nucleotide ribosomal RNA is filed under the name uncultured bacterium. RNAcentral describes it as "bacterial SSU rRNA". It matches the Rfam family "Bacterial small subunit ribosomal RNA", at positions 28 to 377 of the family's 1533-position model. The record is from RNAcentral.
GACGAACGCUUGCGGCGUGCCUAAGAAAUGCAAGUCGAACGAGUUCACUCUUCGGGGUGGAUGUAGUGGCGAACGGUCGCGUAACACGUAGGCAACCUGCCCUAAAGUGGGGACAACAAGCCGAAAGGUUUGCUAAUACCGCAUGUAGCCAAGAAGAGGCAUCUCUUGUUGUCUAAAGCCUUCGGGCGCUUUAGGAUGGGCUUGCGGCCUAUCAGCUUGUUGGUGGGGUAACGCCUACCAAGGCGACGACGGGUAGCUGGUCUGAGAGGAUGGUCAGCCGGAUUGGGACUGAGAUACGGCCCAGACUCCUACGGGGGGCAGCAAUUAGGAAUCUUGCACAAUGGGCG